Molecule: unclassified non-coding RNA, 200 nt
Filed under: soil metagenome
Description: partial contains internal transcribed spacer 2 and large subunit ribosomal RNA
Source: RNAcentral
GGGAUGGGCUGGCCUUAAAAGCAUUAGCUAACCUUGAUAUAACACUGGAUAAUCUACUCGGCGUAUUAAUGAUACACAGACCGCAGAGGACAUUGUUAUGUUAGGUUGCUUUCUAAUCUGGUAUUGGUGAUUCUCAGGAAUUCCAUUAAUCCAUCUCUGAAUUUGACCUCGAAUCAGGUGGGACUACCCGCUGAACUUAA